Molecule: small nucleolar RNA, 61 nt
Organism: Rattus norvegicus (Norway rat)
Lineage: Eukaryota; Metazoa; Chordata; Mammalia; Rodentia; Muridae
Product: small nucleolar RNA SNORD44
Source: Ensembl
UCUACAUGAUGACAAGUAAAUGCUGACAAAUGUGAAGAUUUUAAUUAGCUCUAUCUGAUGU